CCUACGGGUGGCUGCAGUGGGGAAUAUUGCACAAUGGGCGCAAGCCUGAUGCAGCCAUGCCGCGUGUGUGAAGAAGGCCUUCGGGUUGUAAAGCACUUUCAGCGGGGAGGAAGGCGGUGAGGUUAAUAACCUCAUCGAUUGACGUUACCCGCAGAAGACGCACCGGCUAACUCCGUGCCAGCAGCCGCGGUAAUACGGAGGGUGCAAGCGUUAAUCGGAAUUACUGGGCGUAAAGCGCACGCAGGCGGUCUGUCAAGUCGGAUGUGAAAUCCCCGGGCUCAACCUGGGAACUGCAUUCGAAACUGGCAGGCUAGAGUCUUGUAGAGGGGGGUAGAAUUCCAGGUGUAGCGGUGAAAUGCGUAGAGAUCUGGAGGAAUACCGGUGGCGAAGGCGGCCCCCUGGACAAAGACUGACGCUCAGGUGCGAAAGCGUGGGGAGCAAACAGGAUUAGAUACCCGAGUAGUC
Molecule: ribosomal RNA, 465 nt
Filed under: uncultured Klebsiella sp.
Lineage: Bacteria; Pseudomonadati; Pseudomonadota; Gammaproteobacteria; Enterobacterales; Enterobacteriaceae
Description: bacterial SSU rRNA
Rfam family: Bacterial small subunit ribosomal RNA
Source: RNAcentral